This 85-nucleotide unclassified non-coding RNA is filed under the name Pseudomonas reinekei. Lineage: Bacteria; Pseudomonadati; Pseudomonadota; Gammaproteobacteria; Pseudomonadales; Pseudomonadaceae. The record is from RNAcentral.
GUAGGAGCCGGCUUGCUGGCGAUGGUGUCACCGCGGUUCAUCUGAAACACCGCACUGACAGGAUCGCCAGCAAGCCGGCUCCUAC